UACGGGGGGAGCAAGCGUUGUUCGGAAUCACUGGGCGUAAAGGGAGUCUAGGCGGUUUGGUAAGUGGGAUGUGAAAUCCCCGGGCUCACCCCGGGACCUGCAUCCCAAACUGCUGAGCUUGAGUACAGGAGAGGGUGGGGGAAUUCCAGGUGUAGCGGUGAAAUGCGUAGAUAUCUGGAGGAACACCAAUGGCGAAGGCAGCCUUCUGGGCCAACACUGACGCUCAUGCACGAAAGCGUGGGGAGCAAACAGG
Molecule: ribosomal RNA, 253 nt
Filed under: uncultured bacterium
Lineage: Bacteria
Description: partial 16S ribosomal RNA
Rfam family: Bacterial small subunit ribosomal RNA
Source: RNAcentral